GAUGAACGCUGGCGGCGUGCCUAAUACAUGCAAGUCGAGCGAACGGACGAGAAGCUUGCUUCUCUGAUGUUAGCGGCGGACGGGUGAGUAACACGUGGAUAACCUACCUAUAAGACUGGGAUAACUUCGGGAAACCGGAGCUAAUACCGGAUAAUAUUUUGAACCGCAUGGUUCAAAAGUGAAAUACGGUCUUGCUGUCACUUAUAGAUGGAUCCGCGCUGCAUUAGCUAGUUGGUAAGGUAACGGCUUACCAAGGCAACGAUGCAUAGACGACCUGAGAGAGUGAUCGGCGACACGGGAGCUGGGCCACGGUCAAUACUACUGAGGGAGGCCGCAGUAGGGAAUCGGACGCAGUGGGCGGAAGCAUGACAGAGCAACGGGACGUGAGAGAUGGAAGUCUUCGGAUCGGAAAACCCUCUUAUUAGGGAAGAACAUAUGUGUAAGUAAAUGAGGAGAUAUUGACGGUACCGAAUCAGAAAGCCCCGGCUAACUACGUG
This 497-nucleotide ribosomal RNA is filed under the name uncultured bacterium. Its description in RNAcentral is "partial 16S ribosomal RNA". It matches the Rfam family "Bacterial small subunit ribosomal RNA", at positions 28 to 507 of the family's 1533-position model. The record is from RNAcentral.